This 847-nucleotide ribosomal RNA is filed under the name uncultured bacterium. RNAcentral's name for it is "bacterial SSU rRNA". It matches the Rfam family "Bacterial small subunit ribosomal RNA", at positions 28 to 866 of the family's 1533-position model. The record is from RNAcentral.
AACGAACGCUGGCGGCGUGCUUAACACAUGCAAGUCGAACGCGAAAGUUUUCUUCGGAAAGCGAGUAGAGUGGCGCACGGGUGAGUAACGCGUAAGUAAUCUACCCUGGUAUCUGGGAUAACCAACCGAAAGGUUGGCUAAUACCGGAUACGCUGGUAACAGGAANANGUGGCCUCUUCAUNGAAAGCUACUGUACCAGGAGGAGCUUGCGUACCAUGAGCUAGUUGGUAGGGUAAUAGCCUACCAAGGCGACGAUGGUACGGGUCUGAGAGGAUGAUCCGCCACACUGGAACUGGAACACGGACCAGACUCCUACGGGAGGCAGCAGUGAGGAAUAUUGCGCAAUGGGGGAAACCCUGACGCAGCGACGCCGCGUGGAUGAUGAAGGCCUUCGGGUCGUAAAAUCCUGUCAGAUGGAAAGAAGUGUAUAGAUGUUAAUAGCAUUUAUAUUUGACGGUACCAUCAAAGGAAGCACCGGCUAACUCCGUGCCAGCAGCCGCGGUAAUACGGAGGGUGCAAGCGUUGUUCGGAAUUACUGGGCGUAAAGCGCGCGUAGGCGGUUUUAUAAGUCAGAUGUGAAAGUCCACGGCUCAACCGUGGAAGUGCAUUUGAAACUGUAUUACUUGAGUACUGGAGGGGGUGGUGGAAUUCCCGGUGUAGAGGUGAAAUUCGUAGAUAUCGGGAGGAAUACCGGUGGCGAAGGCGACCACCUGGCCAGAUACUGACGCUGAGGUGCGAAAGCGUGGGGAGCAAACAGGAUUAGAUACCUGGUAGUCCACGCCGUAAACGAUGUCAACUAGGUGUUGGGGCGGUUAAUCGUCUCAUUGCCGGAGCUAACGCAUAAGUG